GAUGAAGAACGUAGCGAAAUGCGAUAAGUAAUGUGAAUUGCAGAAUUCAGUGAAUCAUCGAAUCUUUGAACGCACCUUGCACCCUUUGGCUAUUCCGAAGGGUAUGCCUGUUUGUGUAUCAUGAACACCUCAACUCUCAUGGUUUGCCAUGAUGAGCUUGGACUUUGGGGGUCUUGCUGGCCUGUGGUCAGCUCCUCUCAAAUGGAUUAGCUUGCCAGUGUUUGGUGGCAUCACAGGUGUGAUAACUAUCUACGCUUGUGGUUUUCCACCAGGUAACCUUCAGCAAUGGGGGUUCGCUGGGGCUCAUAAAUGUCUCUCCUCAGUGAGGACAGCUCUUUGAACGUUUGAUCUCAAAUCAGGUAGGACUACCCGCUGAACUUAAGCAUAUCAAUAAGCGGAGGA
This 402-nucleotide unclassified non-coding RNA is filed under the name soil metagenome. RNAcentral describes it as "partial contains 5.8S ribosomal RNA, internal transcribed spacer 2, and large subunit ribosomal RNA". The stretch from base 1 to 121 matches the Rfam family "5.8S ribosomal RNA", at positions 35 to 154 of the family's 154-position model. The record is from RNAcentral.